AUUGAACGCUGGCGGCAUGCCUUACACAUGCAAGUCGAACGGCAGCACGGGAGCUUGCUCCUGGUGGCGGGUGGCGAACGGGUGAGUAAUACAUCGGAACGUACCCUGAAGUGGGGGAUAACGUAGCGAAAGUUACGCUAAUACCGCAUAUUCUGUGAGCAGGAAAGAGGGGGAUCGCAAGACCUCUUGCUUUAGGAGCGGCCGAUGUCGGAUUAGCUAGUUGGUGAGGUAAAGGCUCACCAAGGCGACGAUCCGUAGCGGGUCUGAGAGGAUGAUCCGCCACACUGGGACUGAGACACGGCCCAGACUCCUACGGGAGGCAGCAGUGGGGAAUUUUGGGACAAUGGGCGCAAGCCUGAUCCAGCCAUGCCGCGUGAGUGAAGAAGGCCUCGGUGUAAGC
This 400-nucleotide ribosomal RNA is filed under the name uncultured bacterium. Its description in RNAcentral is "bacterial SSU rRNA". It matches the Rfam family "Bacterial small subunit ribosomal RNA", at positions 30 to 431 of the family's 1533-position model. The record is from RNAcentral.